This 29-nucleotide non-coding RNA is filed under the name Homo sapiens (human). The record is from RNAcentral. Lineage: Eukaryota; Metazoa; Chordata; Mammalia; Primates; Hominidae.
UGGGUGGAAAGAAUUACUGAUGAGUUUUU